CAGGCGAAAGAGGAGGGCAAGGGAGUCAGAGGUUGGGAUUUAGAAAAGGGGGAUGUCGGCGGAAGGGUUAGAGGAGUAGGGGAGGUGAGGGAGCUGUUACCACCGCCGCCGCGGGAGACCACCGCCUCCUCCUCCCCCCUCUACCACCGCCGCCGCGGGAGACCACCGCCUCCUCCUCCCCCCUCUACCACCGCGUCGCCGCUGGAAGGGGAGUGCGUAGGGUAGGGGGGAGCAGUAGGGCCUAGUGUGGCCUGGGCUCCGCACGCCCGCGCCGUCGCUGGACGUUCCCUUCCCGCUGCGAGCUUAGCUAGGUCGGUACCUAGCCAGGGACGCCCUCUUUCUCUUUUACUCCUGGAGGCACGAGUUGUCCUCCUCGGCCCCAACGACUAGGCCGGCCGGGUCUAGGUGUGCGGAGGAGGAAGCCGGUGGAGCGGGGUGGUCGAAGGUCGAGGCACCUAGGCGGCUCCUACCUCCCGUCGUUCACUCUCCCUCGUCCCCUUCUACACUUAGCUCCCUCACUUUCUUCCUAGAGUGUCCCCUUCUCCUUCUUCCUCAGAUCGCCACAUAGGAGCAGAGUAGGGACCGACGUGGAGAAGACUACGGUACCGUGGUCACCACCGAGCAGCUACCUCGUGGAGGAAGGUACUGCCGUGGUGGUCGCUGAGAACGAGCUGCGGUGCUAUGUGUUGUAGCUCCGGUGGGGACUACGAGUCCGACUACGAAGAAGCGAACUACGACUUCUUUUCCUACUAGUCUAAGUCUGCGGGUUCUUGUUGUCGAUGAUACUUAUAAUACUAACUCGCUGACGAACCGCUACAGUAGCAGUCUCCGAGUCCGGAGGAGGGACCUGUUCCGUGAGCACGAUCCGCCACCGCUAGACACGCGGCCAAGUUCUCCGCCAUUCUGCCAGCGUUCUUACGGUUCGAGAAGUCGACACCGUAGUACGUUAUUACCUUAACUCGUAAGACCCGUUUUGUAUUUCCUGUUGCUUAUACGUUCCAACCACUGUGGUCAACUUGUACGUUGUCGACUGUUCUUUAAAACGGACUCGUUGGUUUCAAUUCUGUGAAGUAAACCACUUACUUUCAAAACGAACCUACGAAGGUAGAAUAUAAUCGUAGAAUAUAGAAGCCCUUUAAACCGCGUGACACCCAGCUCGAGCGACGACCUCCGCCGCCGCCGCCGGCCGCGCGGCUACGUCUGUACCGGCUACCACAAGCUGGUCAAGUAGCUCCUCUCCGACCAGUGUCUGCAAGAGUUCUAGCCGCUCUUCCACACCCCGCCCCGCGCCUCGUGCUUCCUCCUCUUCCUCUACCACGGCCGGCUCCACCACCGCUCCAAGAACCUUGGUCCGCCUUGCCCCCUCUGCCGCUCCCUGGCUCGCGUCCUCGAGGGUCACUUCCGAGCACGCCGGCACAGCUUUCCGCCCAGCAGCAGGACACUAGACACGUCCGAAUAGCUGCUGGACUACCUUUGUUCCCUCCGGCAGCGGCCGCCGCUGUGAUGAUGCAGUGCGCGACGACUCUAUAUCGCGGUAACAACAUAAAGGGACAAGAAGUUAGACAAACAUUUGUACAUUGUGGCCGGCGAAUUAGACAAGACAUAAAGGGAAACGGAUGAUAGGGAUACCACAAGUAGUAGAGUCCCUAAACGACCGUGACCUAGGUCAUCCUCCUCUAGGGACACCGUAAACUAAGAACACCCUAAGGGUGUGUAGAACGUCCUAGUUGUCCAAUAGUUGUGGAAGAGUCAGGGAGACGUGGGUACUGGGUCCAAACCAAGGAGACCACCACCUCCUAAAAAAAACAAGAUAAGCCUACACCCAAAGGCAUGUACUAGUGUACUAUUACGGUACUCACUGAUACCCGGUGAUGGUUCUUCUCCGAGAUUAAUCGAAGUAACUAUACAACGAAACGACUCGUGCUGUGUUUAGCUUUCUGAAAAGACAUGGUCCGGUUUGGUUGAUGAACGUAUAACUUCUUUGAAGGUACUACAAAAUGCACACCUAAGAUUGUUGACUAGAUCGCAUAUACAAUAGUAUCGUCUUAUUCUCUACGCGAGUUUGGUCACCUAAAAAGUAGGUUCUACGAAAAUAUUCUUUACGCCGUUUGUAGUCAUUACCUGACGUGGUCCAUAGUAGAGACACGGUACCCCACACAGCACCCCUGACUAGGCACCGACUCCAGCUGUUUUUUUGUCCCCUCGGGUGCUUGUUGGUUUAAGGUCUGACCAAAAACAGUAUAGCCUGUAAUCAGUACUUUCAACGUCAGAAAGUAAAAAUAGUAUGUUUCGUGUGACUAACCAAGAGUACCCUAUCGCUACGGAAAGUCAACAAGAACAGACAUGUAGGCUCAUUCCUAUUGAUGUGUGAAGAUUUUAACAGUCAUGUAUGUUUAACUAGAAAGACCACUAACGAAACCAUUAUUGAUGUUUGAAGAUUUAAACAGUAGAAAAACCAAACGUAUCGAUUAAAGGGGACUCCUAACAUCAUUGCAAAUUUGUUCAUAAAUGUGAAGAUUUGUUCAUACCUUUUUCCGCUGAACGAACUUGACUUAGUCGGUAUUUGGAGGGAAUUAAUACACGUACAGAUGUUUUUGAAAUCCAGACGGAGGGACAUCUUUAUGUGUUCAUAUAAACAUUGUGAAUCUACGAACGGAUACAUUCGAACGUAGUGUCUGGUCGUUCCUCCUUCUGCUUCGGGCCCAAGUCGGGGCAACCUCAACCGUAGACGAGUGUCGUUCGACGUCUACUACAGGCAUAAAACAAAGAAAAGAGGACACCGUUUGUGUUCGUCCACGACUCUAUUCCGUCUUAAUAUAAGUCUAAGCAUCGACGAUCCAUCAUAUAAAAUCGUGAUUCAAAGAAAAUUUAAUACCCGUAUUAGACACGCCUUAAAGUUAAAUGAGGAUUUUGUUGUCAACAUCGAGAACAAAAAUACAAAGGUUACCACGACCAAAGUGACUUUAAACUAACCAUCAAAUCCUCAAUCCGGUCUUUUCCACGAUGACAAAUCAUUAUCGCUCCGACACUCUUCUAGAUAAAUGGAUACAAGUUGGUUCAAUCUCUGUCAAAGUCAGGGUUAGUGGAAUUUAUUUCAACAUCCUUUAAGAGAUACCCAUAGAAUUUUAUCAAAUAAAUGACUCUAGCCAAUUCACCAAAUUUUCGAUACUUGUCUUGUUACUCACUGAGUCAUUGAGUCAAAUUCAAAGUCGAUUUAAAUCUUGACCAAUAAAUCCAAAAAAUGAAGUCCCUUUAUAAUUACAUAAGUACUUUAUCUAUAAAUUCAAAAAAACAUACACUCAACUAUAUUGAAAAUACAUGACGUCCGUCAAGCAAAUUUAGGUGUAUUGUCACGGAAAUCAUCCGCUAUCGUUCCAUCAGUCUGUUAGAAUCAAACCCCUUUAUUCUAUCCAAUGGACUGCUAUGUAACUUUCUCUUUCCUUAUAACUAUAAAACAGCUACUGCACUUGACGUUUUCCUACGAGAACCACUGUCGUAGGACCCGAAGACUUUGUACGAGUCAAAUCGACUUUACUACAUAAGUUAAUACGUCUCUCUACCUUAACAAGCUUGAGCUCACGGUGGUUAGCUGCCGUAUGGUUCUGUAAUGGUGCUCUCGUCGCCACGAAGGUCCUACUUCUUACUUACGUACAGUAAGUCCCUAUUGACACCCGUUACUUUACAACUUCCCAGGUAGAGAGUGGGGUGAGGUAUAUCUACGAAUCAAGAAGUACCGCUAACAGAGAUUACAAAAACAAACAUUAUAUAAAACCGAACCUUUAUAUUUUUGAGUUACGGCGGACAGUGUGUUAAAAAACAGCAGGCCCGUUUGGGGGGAAAGGUAAUUAAAGAACUACAUACCAAUAACUACGUCAGAAGAUCUGCUUCUACCUAAAUCCGACACACUAAGGUAUCAUAUGGAACGUGAAGGAAAUUCGUACUUAUAGACUUGCACGUGCCACAUAUAAAGAGUCGGUACAACAAAAAGAUAAAUAUAAAAGUCCUGUGUAUUUCAUGUACAUAACGUAAUCUUAUAUUGAAGAUGAAGACACGAUAAUAAAAGGAAGUACCAUAUACACCGUCUUGUGGUACAUAUAGAUUGUAGAAGUCCAAAGUCCUAAAUUUACGGGAAACAAAAGACAUCCACCAAUGGACUCUAAAAUAAACUAAUGAGAUAAUCUAGCAUUCGUUUAAUUCUGUAUACAACUAGAACGUUAACUAUCGUAAAGGACAGUAUAACAACUAAGAGAAUGUCUAGGUGGUGGAGUCUACCACGACUGUCCCACGUUUCGUCAGAAGGAAUCUCGAAACCAUGGCCCAAAAUUCCUCUUGUAAACGGGAGUACUUCGGGGUGAAACACCACUAACGUCGACAUCGAUUCCUCCCAUGGGCAGUCGCGGUCGAGUGACGAACGGAUACAUUAGUUAGAUAUAAAGGUUGGAAAAACAAAUACCAUUCAUCUUGUUGCGGAUCUUUCUUACUUUCUGACAAAGAUUUAAGAUUAAUGGAAACGACGUAGAUUGGAUUGACGGUACGGAUACACUGGUGAUUUCGUUUAUGGUAACAAAGUAGACGUCGCAUCAGGUCUAAAUCAAAAUCACUAAAGAAUUGGGAAAACAAGAACGAGACUUCUAAUUCUGUACGUGCCCGGAAUCUGAUAUCAUUCGUAGAUACAAUAUGCGUAGAAAAGUAACGGCGCAUAUGAUUUACAUUAGUCCCUGAAUGAUUAUAACUACAUAGGGGAGUCAACAUAACCAUGAUGAUGUAUAAGCAGUACUGUGAUGGUUAAUAUAUAUCGUUUAAGUUUCCACAGAUAUACUACGUAGAGAUGGAUACACAGAACGAACAAUUUUUGUUACAUUUAUUCGAUGUUCUAUUGAUUUCUUCGUAUGUUGAUACACCUCCUUCACACACGAUGUAGUUUGUUUUAAGUACCGGAACGACCGUAAUCGGAACCUGGGACGACGGAGUUACAGACAAAGAUUAGACUUCGUCCGAGAGUACCUCUAAGUGCUACAUCACCAGCGUGAAGUUUUGUGACGUUGGUGUUGUAGAGUCAAGGAUCUCCUUUUUCCGUACAUGAGUCUACUACUUCACGGACUAGGUAAGAUAUCCCCGUAAGACUACUUCUAAGUCGACUACUAACAGUAGUUCUGUACCUGCUGCUGAUGCCAGUGAUACAGGCUAGGGGUACUCGUAGUAUAAGUCGGACGAUUCGACAGACUACGGUACACUUCGACAUAUACAUAUCGAAGUGGUAAUGCUGAACCAAGACACCGACAACACAAAUAAGAGGAUACGACCGACUUAUUCUACGCUUCGAGAAACAAAUAUCGAAACGGAAUCUAAAAAAAAGGAAAAACUUGACGUGAUACCAGUACAUAUUCAUACUUUAGGUACAACUACGCAACUCGAAUAAAUAGAUACAACGUAGAAACGAAA
Molecule: ribosomal RNA, 5442 nt
Filed under: Triticum aestivum (bread wheat)
Lineage: Eukaryota; Viridiplantae; Streptophyta; Magnoliopsida; Poales; Poaceae
Description: partial small subunit ribosomal RNA
Source: RNAcentral